RNAcentral lists this ribosomal RNA (392 nucleotides) under uncultured bacterium. Its description in RNAcentral is "partial 16S ribosomal RNA". It matches the Rfam family "Bacterial small subunit ribosomal RNA", at positions 523 to 918 of the family's 1533-position model. The record is from RNAcentral.
AUACGGAGGAUCCGAGCGUUAUCCGGAUUUAUUGGGUUUAAAGGGUGCGCAGGCGGCCAUUUAAGUCAGCGGUUAAAUCGUGGGGCUCAACCCCAUCCUGCCGUUGAUACUGGGUGGCUUGAUUGCGGUCGAGGUUGGCGGAAUUCGUUGUGUAGCGGUGAAAUGCAUAGAUAUGACGAAGAACACCGAUUGCGUAGGCAGCUGACCAGAUCGCAAAUGACGCUCAUGCACGAAAGUGCUGGGAUCGAACAGGAUUAGAUACCCUGGUAGUCCGCACAGUAAACGAUUAAUACUUGUUUUCGGCGAUAUAAUGUCGGAGGCAAAGCGAAAGCGAUAAGUAUUCCACCUGGGGAGUACGCCGGCAACGGUGAAACUCAAAUGAAUUGACGGGG